This 383-nucleotide long non-coding RNA is filed under the name Salmo salar (Atlantic salmon). Its description in RNAcentral is "lncRNA (ENSSSAG00000089068.1)". The record is from RNAcentral. Lineage: Eukaryota; Metazoa; Chordata; Actinopteri; Salmoniformes; Salmonidae.
GACAGAGGACUAUAUAGAUGUUAGGACAACAGGACCAGACCAGACAGAGGACUAUAUAGAUGUUAGGACAACAGGACCAGACCAGACAGAGGACUAUAUAGAUGUUAGGACAACAGGACCAGACCAGGCAGAGGACUAUAUAGAUGUUAGGACAACAGGACCAGGCAGAGGACUAUAUAGAUGUUAGGACAACAGGACCAGACCAGACAGAGGACUAUAUAGAUGUUAGGACAACAGGACCAGACAGAGGACUAUAUAGAUGUUAGGACCAGACCAGGCAGAGGACUAUAUAGAUGUUAGGACAACAGGACCAGACCAGACAGAGGACUAUAUAGAUGUUAGGACAACAGGACCAGACCAGACAGAGGACUAUAUAGAUGUUA